UUGAUUGAUUGAUUGAUUUGGUUGGUCUUUUUUCUAUUUCUGGAGUUUGGGUUUGUUGGCAGUGAGAAGCUCAAGCUCAGCCCUAAGUUUAGCCAAUAGCUAUUGCUUUUAGAGAGAGAGAGAGAGAGAGAGAGAGGCAGAGAGAGAGAGGGUCAGGGUAAGUUCUGAA
Molecule: long non-coding RNA, 169 nt
Organism: Rosa chinensis
Lineage: Eukaryota; Viridiplantae; Streptophyta; Magnoliopsida; Rosales; Rosaceae
Exons: 3
Source: RefSeq, a predicted model, not a curated record